RNAcentral lists this transfer RNA (66 nucleotides) under Theretra japonica. RNAcentral describes it as "tRNA-Tyr". It matches the Rfam family "tRNA". Rfam says of the family: Transfer RNA (tRNA) molecules are approximately 80 nucleotides in length. Their secondary structure includes four short double-helical elements and three loops (D, anti-codon, and T loops). The record is from RNAcentral. Lineage: Eukaryota; Metazoa; Arthropoda; Insecta; Lepidoptera; Sphingidae.
AAUAAAAUGGCUGAGUAAAAAGCGAUAAAUUGUAAAUUUAUUUACGAGAAAUAUUCUCUUUUAUUA